GGAGAGGUGGCCGAGCUGGCCGAAGGCGCUCCCCUGCUAAGGGAGUAUACUGGCAAAACCGGUAUCGCGGGUUCAAAUCCCGCCCUCUCCGCCA
This 94-nucleotide transfer RNA is filed under the name Fundidesulfovibrio magnetotacticus. Its description in RNAcentral is "tRNA-Ser". It matches the Rfam family "tRNA". Rfam says of the family: Transfer RNA (tRNA) molecules are approximately 80 nucleotides in length. Their secondary structure includes four short double-helical elements and three loops (D, anti-codon, and T loops). The record is from RNAcentral. Lineage: Bacteria; Pseudomonadati; Thermodesulfobacteriota; Desulfovibrionia; Desulfovibrionales; Desulfovibrionaceae.